GGUGUUUCUAGGUUCGCAGUACAGAGGAAGGGUCACACUACCACCAGGGUCAUAAAACUACCCCUGGAAAUGCCCACAACUCCUACGAAAGCCUUGUCAAAUAGGUGUUUCUAGGUUCACAGUACAGAGGAAGGGUCACACUACCACCAGGGUCAUAAAACUACCCCUGGAAAUGCCCACAACUCCUACGAAAGCCUUGUCAAAUAUGUGUUUCUAGGUUCACGGUACAGAGGAAGGGUCACACUACCACCAGGGUCAUAAAACUACCCCUGGAAAUGCCCACAACUCCUAGGAAAGCCUUGUCAAAUAGGUGUUUCUAGGUUCACAGUACAGAGGAAGGGUCACACUACCACCAGGGUCAUAAAACUACCCCUGGAAAUGCCCACAACUCCUACGAAAGCCUUGUCAAAUAUGUGUUUCUAGGUUCACGGUACAGAAGAAGGGUCACACUACCACCAGGGUCAUAAAACUACCCCUGGAAAUGCCCACAACUCCUACGAAAGCCUUGUCAAAUAUGUGUUUCUAGGUUCACGGUACAGAAGAAGGGUCACACUACCACCAGGGUCAUAAAACUACCCCUGGAAAUGCCCACAAAACCUACCCUAGUAUUGAAUC
Molecule: long non-coding RNA, 615 nt
Organism: Eriocheir sinensis (Chinese mitten crab)
Lineage: Eukaryota; Metazoa; Arthropoda; Malacostraca; Decapoda; Varunidae
Exons: 3
Source: RefSeq, a predicted model, not a curated record